AAAUUGAAGAGUUUGAUCAUGGCUCAGAUUGAACGCUGGCGGCAGGCCUAACACAUGCAAGUCGAACGGUAACAGAGAGCAGCUUGCUGCUUUGCUGACGAGUGGCGGACGGGUGAGUAAUGUCUGGGAAACUGCCUGAUGGAGGGGGAUAACUACUGGAAACGGUGGCUAAUACCGCAUAACGUCGCAAGACCAAAGAGGGGGACCUUCGGGCCUCUUGCCAUCAGAUGUGCCCAGAUGGGAUUAGCUUGUUGGUGAGGUAACGGCUCACCAAGGCGACGAUCCCUAGCUGGUCUGAGAGGAUGACCAGCCACACUGGAACUGAGACACGGUCCAGACUCCUACGGGAGGCAGCAGUGGGGAAUAUUGCACAAUGGGCGCAAGCCUGAUGCAGCCAUGCCGCGUGUAUGAAGAAGGCCUUCGGGUUGUAAAGUACUUUCAGCGGGGAGGAAGGUGUUGUGGUUAAUAACCGCAGCAAUUGACGUUACCCGCAGAAGAAGCACCGGCUAACUCCGUGCCAGCAGCCGCGGUAAUACGGAGGGUGCAAGCGUUAAUCGGAAUUACUGGGCGUAAAGCGCACGCAGGCGGUCUGUCAAGUCGGAUGUGAAAUCCCCGGGCUCAACCUGGGAACUGCAUUCGAAACUGGCAGGCUUGAGUCUUGUAGAGGGGGGUAGAAUUCCAGGUGUAGCGGUGAAAUGCGUAGAGAUCUGGAGGAAUACCGGUGGCGAAGGCGGCCCCCUGGACAAAGACUGACGCUCAGGUGCGAAAGCGUGGGGAGCAAACAGGAUUAGAUACCCUGGUAGUCCACGCCGUAAACGAUGUCUACUUGGAGGCUGUGCCCUUGAGGCGUGGCUUCCGGAGCUAACGCGUUAAGUAGACCGCCUGGGGAGUACGGCCGCAAGGUUAAAACUCAAAUGAAUUGACGGGGGCCCGCACAAGCGGUGGAGCAUGUGGUUUAAUUCGAUGCAACGCGAAGAACCUUACCUGGUCUUGACAUCCACAGAAGUUUGCAGAGAUGCGAAUGUGCCUUCGGGAACUGUGAGACAGGUGCUGCAUGGCUGUCGUCAGCUCGUGUUGUGAAAUGUUGGGUUAAG
Molecule: ribosomal RNA, 1094 nt
Filed under: Salmonella enterica
Lineage: Bacteria; Pseudomonadati; Pseudomonadota; Gammaproteobacteria; Enterobacterales; Enterobacteriaceae
Description: bacterial SSU rRNA
Rfam family: Bacterial small subunit ribosomal RNA
Source: RNAcentral